Molecule: ribosomal RNA, 496 nt
Filed under: uncultured bacterium
Lineage: Bacteria
Description: partial 16S ribosomal RNA
Rfam family: Bacterial small subunit ribosomal RNA
Source: RNAcentral
GAUGAACGCUGGCGGCGUGCCUAAUGCAUGCGAGUCGAGCGAACAGACGAGGAGCUUGCUCCUCUGACGUUAGCGGCGGACGGGUGAGUAACACGUGGAUAACCUACCUAUAAGACUGGGAUAACUUCGGGAAACCGGAGCUAAUACCGGAUAAUAUAUUGAACCGCAUGGUUCAAUAGUGAAAGACGGUUUUGCUGUCACUUAUAGAUGGAUCCGCGCCGCAUUAGCUAGUUGGUAAGGUAACGGCUUACCAAGGCAACGAUGCGUAGCCGACCUGAGAGGGUGAUCGGCCACACUGGAACUGAGACACGGUCAGACUCCUACGGGAGGCAGCAGUAGGGAAUCUUCCGCAAUGGGCGAAAGCCUGACGGAGCAACGCCGCGUGAGUGAUGAAGGUCUUCGGAUCGUAAAACUCUGUUAUUAGGGAAGAACAAAUGUGUAAGUAACUAUGCACGUCUUGACGGUACCUAAUCAGAAAGCCACGGCUAACUACGUG